This 520-nucleotide ribosomal RNA is filed under the name Halomonas sp. BTCZ26. RNAcentral's name for it is "bacterial SSU rRNA". It matches the Rfam family "Bacterial small subunit ribosomal RNA", at positions 79 to 601 of the family's 1533-position model. Lineage: Bacteria; Pseudomonadati; Pseudomonadota; Gammaproteobacteria; Oceanospirillales; Halomonadaceae. The record is from RNAcentral.
UGCUGGAUGCUGACGAGCGGCGGACGGGUGAGUAAUGCAUAGGAAUCUGCCCGAUAGUGGGGGAUAACCUGGGGAAACCCAGGCUAAUACCGCAUACGUCCUACGGGAGAAAGGGGGCUUCGGCUCCCGCUAUCGGAUGAGCCUAUGUCGGAUUAGCUAGUUGGUGAGGUAAAGGCUCACCAAGGCAACGAUCCGUAGCUGGUCUGAGAGGAUGAUCAGCCACAUCGGGACUGAGACACGGCCCGAACUCCUACGGGAGGCAGCAGUGGGGAAUAUUGGACAAUGGGGGCAACCCUGAUCCAGCCAUGCCGCGUGUGUGAAGAAGGCCCUCGGGUUGUAAAGCACUUUCAGCGAGGAAGAACGCCUAGCGGUUAAUACCCGCUAGGAAAGACAUCACUCGCAGAAGAAGCACCGGCUAACUCCGUGCCAGCAGCCGCGGUAAUACGGAGGGUGCAAGCGUUAAUCGGAAUUACUGGGCGUAAAGCGCGCGUAGGUGGCUUGAUAAGCCGGUUGUGAAAGC